GCUACCACUUACAGAUGGACCCGCGGCGCAUUAGCUAGUUGGUGAGGUAACGGCUCACCAAGGCGACGAUGCGUAGCCGACCUGAGAGGGUGAUCGGCCACACUGGGACUGAGACACGGCCCAGACUCCUACGGGAGGCAGCAGUAGGGAAUCUUCCGCAAUGGACGAAAGUCUGACGGAGCAACGCCGCGUGAGUGAUGAAGGUUUUCGGAUCGUAAAACUCUGUUGUUAGGGAAGAACAAGUACCGUUCGAAUAGGGCGGUACCUUGACGGUACCUAACCAGAAAGCCACGGCUAACUACGUGCCAGCAGCCGCGGUAAUACGUAGGUGGCAAGCGUUGUCCGGAAUUAUUGGGCGUAAAGCGCGCGCAGGCGGUUUCUUAAGUCUGAUGUGAAAGCCCCCGGCUCAACCGGGGAGGGUCAUUGGAAACUGGGGAACUUGAGUGCAGAAGAGGAGAGUGGAAUUCCACGUGUAGCGGUGAAAUGCGUAGAGAUGUGGAGGAACACCAGUGGCGAAGGCGACUCUCUGGUCUGUAACUGACGCUG
This 546-nucleotide ribosomal RNA is filed under the name Bacillus sp. 16BL. RNAcentral describes it as "bacterial SSU rRNA". It matches the Rfam family "Bacterial small subunit ribosomal RNA", at positions 211 to 748 of the family's 1533-position model. Lineage: Bacteria; Bacillati; Bacillota; Bacilli; Caryophanales; Bacillaceae. The record is from RNAcentral.